AUAAAGUUUUAUUCUUGCUUAAGGAUUUAUUUAAAUUUUGUUUUACAUGUAAGUUUUUGCAUGAUAUUAAUUAAUUUUUCUAAAUGAUUAUUAAUUUGUGAUUAAAGCGCAGUAUUUAAUUUUAUUAAUCAAGGUAACUUGGAUUUAGCAAUUGUUUAUAGUACCGGCUAAAGUCGUGCCAGCUGCCGCGGUUACACGGAGGGUACAAAUAAAUAUUUUUAGUUUGUAGUUAUAAGUCUAUUUAUUUUAAGGAGUUAAAUUUAAUUUUGUUAGGUGAAAUUUUAAUUUUAAAUUAUUUCUUUAAUUAAUUAUUUAGAGGCUAUGAAAUUUAUUUUUUAAACUAGGAUUAGAUACCCUAUUAUUUUAAAUGUAAACUGUUUUAGCUUGGGUAGUAAUAGUUAUGUUCUUGAAACUCAAAGAAUUUGGCGGUGUUUUAGUCCUUUCAGAGGAACCUGUCCCUUAAUCGAUAGUCCACGUUAAACCUUACUUAACUUUGUUUUUCAGCUUGUAUACCGCCGUCGUCAGAAUGUCCUUAGAGGGUUUAAAUUUUCUUUAAUUUUUAUUAUAAAUGAUGUCAGGUCAAGGUGCAGCUUAUGGUUAAGUGGAGAUGGGUUACAAUAAAUAUAUUUAUAACGGAUAAUAAGUUGAAUGACUUAUUUGAAGGUGGAUUUGAUUGUAAUUUGUUCAAUUAAAGUAUUUUGAUUUUGGCUCUAAAACAUGCACACAUCGCCCGUCGCUCUCGUUAUUUAAGGCGAGAUAAGUCGUAACAUAGUAGGCGUACCGGAAGGUGUGCCUGGAAAGUU
RNAcentral lists this non-coding RNA (803 nucleotides) under Diamphipnoa annulata. Lineage: Eukaryota; Metazoa; Arthropoda; Insecta; Plecoptera; Diamphipnoidae. The record is from RNAcentral.